Molecule: non-coding RNA, 89 nt
Organism: Mycena crocata
Lineage: Eukaryota; Fungi; Basidiomycota; Agaricomycetes; Agaricales; Mycenaceae
Source: the annotation of a GenBank genome assembly
GCGGGUGUGGUGUGGGAUACAGCUGCUUCCAGUGUUGAUCAAACUUUCGAACACAAGCAGCCAACCGGGUUCGAUUCCCGGCGCCCACA